AUACGAUCACCGAAGUUAAGCAGCAUAGAGCCAGGUCAGUACUUAGAUGGGGGAUCGCUUGAGAACACCUGGUACUGUAAGC
Molecule: non-coding RNA, 82 nt
Organism: Acanthosepion pharaonis
Lineage: Eukaryota; Metazoa; Mollusca; Cephalopoda; Sepiida; Sepiidae
Source: the annotation of a GenBank genome assembly